Molecule: ribosomal RNA, 468 nt
Filed under: uncultured bacterium
Lineage: Bacteria
Description: partial 16S ribosomal RNA
Rfam family: Bacterial small subunit ribosomal RNA
Source: RNAcentral
GACGAACGCUGGCGGCGUGCUUAACACAUGCAAGUCGAACGGAAAGGCCCUGCUUUUGUGGGGUGCUCGAGUGGCGAACGGGUGAGUAACACGUGAGUAACCUGCCCUUGACUUUGGGAUAACUUCAGGAAACUGGGGCUAAUACCGGAUAGGAGCUCCUGCUGCAUGGUGGGGGUUGGAAAGUUUCGGCGGUUGGGGAUGGACUCGCGGCUUAUCAGCUUGUUGGUGGGGUAGUGGCUUACCAAGGCUUUGACGGGUAGCCGGCCUGAGAGGGUGACCGGCCACAUUGGGACUGAGAUACGGCCCAGACUCCUACGGGAGGCAGCAGUGGGGAAUAUUGCACAAUGAGCGGAAGCCUGAUGCAGCGGCGCCGCGUGCGGGAUGACGGCCUUCGGGUUGUAAACCGCUUUCGCCUGUGACGAAGCGUGAGUGACGGUAAUGGGUAAAGAAGCACCGGCUAACUACGUG